Peromyscus californicus insignis is the source of this 4161-nucleotide RNA transcript. It is a transcript of the gene named cell division cycle 14A, with no coding region annotated. The transcript is spliced from 16 exons. The record is from RefSeq and is a predicted model, not a curated record. Lineage: Eukaryota; Metazoa; Chordata; Mammalia; Rodentia; Cricetidae.
CCCCCGGGGGCGGGUGACCUCAGCUGGCCGCGACCCAGCCCUCCCCCGUGCAGAUCUCGCUUAAGAUGGCAGCGGAGACAGGGGAACUAAUCGGGGCUUGUGAGUUCAUGAAAGAUCGAUUAUAUUUUGCUACUUUAAGGAAUAGACCAAAAAGCACAAUAAAUACCCACUAUUUCUCCAUCGACGAGGAGCUGGUCUAUGAAAAUUUCUAUGCAGAUUUUGGACCUCUGAACUUGGCAAUGGUGUACAGAUACUGCUGUAAACUAAACAAGAAACUAAAAUCAUACAGUUUAUCAAGAAAGAAAAUAGUGCACUACACCUGUUUCGACCAGCGGAAACGAGCGAACGCAGCCUUCUUGAUAGGUGCUUACGCUGUUAUCUACUUAAAGAAGACACCAGAAGAAGCCUACAGAGCGCUCCUGUCUGGCUCAAACCCCCCUUACCUUCCAUUCAGGGACGCAUCCUUUGGAAAUUGCACUUACAACCUCACCAUCCUUGACUGUUUACAAGGAAUCAGAAAGGGAUUACAGCAUGGAUUUUUUGACUUUGAGACAUUUGAUGUGGAUGAAUAUGAACAUUAUGAGCGUGUUGAAAAUGGGGACUUCAACUGGAUUGUUCCAGGGAAAUUUUUAGCGUUUAGUGGACCGCAUCCGAAAAGCAAAAUUGAAAAUGGUUACCCUCUCCACGCCCCCGAAGCCUACUUUCCCUAUUUCAAAAAGAACAACGUGACUGCAAUCGUGAGAUUGAACAAAAAGAUUUACGAGGCAAAGCGCUUCACAGACGCCGGCUUUGAGCACUACGACCUGUUCUUCAUAGACGGCAGCACUCCCAGCGACAACAUCGUGCGAAGGUUCCUGAACAUCUGUGAGAACACAGAAGGGGCCAUCGCGGUCCACUGCAAAGCUGGUCUGGGAAGAACAGGGACAUUGAUAGCCUGUUAUGUCAUGAAACACUACAGGUUCACACAUGCUGAAAUCAUUGCUUGGAUCAGAAUUUGCCGACCAGGCUCCAUCAUCGGACCCCAGCAGCACUUCCUGGAAGAAAAACAAGCAUCAUUGUGGGUCCAAGGAGACAUUUUUCGAUCCAAACUGAAAAAUAAACCUUCCAGUGAAGGAAGUAUUAAUAAAAUUAUUUCUAGCUUGGAUGAUAUGUCUAUUGGUGGAAACUUAUCUAAAUUGCAGAGUGCGGAAAGGUUUGCAGAGAGUCAUUUAGAAGACGAAGAUGUGGAAAUGAAAAACAACGUAACACAGGGAGACAAACUACGUGCCUUAAAAAGCCAGAGGCAGCCCCGCUCCUCGCCAUCCUGUGCAUUUAGGUCAGACGAUAUGAAAGGACCCCAAAGGGCAGUGGCCCAGACUCUCAGAUUAAGUUCUUCCCCACAACCAUCUGUGUCUACUGUGAAGACCCCCAAAGUGUGUUUGUCCCCUUCAGCGACAGCCAAAAGGAUAAACAGAGGCUCUUCGUCUUCGGGUGCAAAUACAAGAAGCUUCCCCGUAAACUCCCGGCUGGCCAGUUCGCUAGGGAACUUGAACGCUGUGACGGAUGACCCCGAGAACAAAAAGACCGCCUCACCCACCAAGGCAGCGUUCAUAGCCAGCCCGUUCACCAGCUUCUUGAAUGGCAGCUCCCAGCCACCUGGCAGAACUUACCCUGAGCUCAACAACAACCAGUAUACCAGAAGCAGCAACAGCAGCAGCAGUGGUCUUGGGAGCAACCUGAACAGCUCCCCAGGCCCCCUGAGCGCCAAGCCUGAGGAACACACCACCGUCCUUAGACCCUCCUUCCAGGGCGGGCUCUCUUCCUCCUCGGCGAGAUUCCUGAGCCGUUCUAUCCCUGUAAGUUCACAGACACCACCUCUUGGUCCUCAGAACCCUGAAUGCAACUUUUGUGCCUUGCCUUCCCAGCCGAGGCUGCCACCAAAGAAAUUUAAUAGUGCCAAGGAAGCCUUCUGAUCGACGCCUUCCCUCUGUGUUGUGCAACUAUCCAUGCGCUACAUUCUGCUGGCUCCUCUUCAAUCCCUUCAGUCUGAAUAUGUUCAUUACUAAGGCCUUGCCACACCAGUGAAGGCGGUUCCAUUCUGAGACAUCGGGACGUGCAGUGUGGAGGGGAACGGCUGCUUGCCCGGAGGAUGUCUCUGUCUUCUUACCUUAAAGAGUGUUAGACAUAGCACCGUUGAGAGACUUGAGACCAGAGCACUGGCUAACGACUACUACAAUGCACUGUAAUGCUGUUUAUGGAGGUGUCCACACCUGUAAAGACAGUUUUAAUGUUGAAUUUGGUAUUUUAAAAGGUUAUUUUUAAUGUGUUUCGGUAAUGCAUUUGUUACUGCAUUUACAUGUACAGUGUUACAUUAUAUAUGUAUCAUGAACUUUAUAAAAGACUAUUUUGAUAAUUUUAUAAGUACAUCAGAUUAUGUAAAAGCUAGACUAUAUUUUGAUUUAGACUUUCCUGCUGUUUGCUACCAAAAAUUUGUAUUUUAAAUUUGUUUAGCUUUAGUAUGGUUUUGUCUACAAAGAGUAAAUAAUUCUUCCUUAUUAAGUGAAAGUGAGGGAGCACAUGUCUAGAAAGUGAUUUUUGGUGCUCCCCCAUGAGUCCAAUAGAUCAGAGCAUCCUCUGCUGAAGUCUGCCUGAACUGGAGUUCAUCCAAAUUCAUCUCGACCAAGAGUGGGGAUGUUGAGAGGGUUUAUUUAGGAAAAAAACCUUCCCUUUGUUUCUCUGCUUGAACCUUUUGAGUAGGAGGCUUAAAAAAAAAGAAAAAACUUUAGCAUCUCUUUAGUAUCAGAAAUCGCUGUCUCUCCUGAAAGCAUGACUUUUUUUUCCUCUGUGAAAUGACAGAACAUUCCAAAUGCUUUUAUUUCUUUCCUCCUCUCAUGAGUGCUUUAAAAAAAAAUGCCUUAAACCAUCUAUUUUGCUUAUACCUUCUUGUAAAUAGGCAAAGGAAGGAUACGGAUUUUAAGAAUCAUGUCGACGGUUUGUAAGAACACUCUCAGUAAAUGGUCAAUAAUGCUGUUAAAGACCAAAAAACAAACAAACAAAAAACAGCACUUCAAAAGAGUUAAUAACUCAGAACAUUCUGCUUUGGGUACGAGGUGGUCAUUGCCUUGUAAGCAUGCAUGGUCUGAUGUCAUUUUCAAAGCAAUGAAGGAAUAAGCCGAAGAAAAUGCUGCUAAGUAGAUCUGUACACUAAAGGAGAUAUUUUAAUGGAGCACCUCCCCCAGAUGUACACACGGGUCUGUCUAGAACUGAUGUCAGAGAGAAAGGGCCCUCAAGGGUAUGUUCAGCCCUUUCAUGUAAGUGUGAUUCUGUAUAUGUUUCCAGCAGCCAAUUGGCUUCUUGUCCAUAUGAGAUAAGAGAGUCUUAGGUACCGAUUCUCUUCCAGGCUGCUUGAGAAUGGGCAAAGGCUAGUUAAAUUGAUUCAUGCAAAGUGCUUUAUUCCAACUGUUGAGUUAUUUAUAAUGUAUUUAUUAGGAGGCGGUAUCUUCAGACUAGUAUAUAUGCUUCAGUAAGACACCUUGUUCACGUUUUACACUUUUGAAAAGGCAUUGGAAUGAAUGUUUGACUCAGGUGUGUUAGUAUAAUUUCCCAUAACUGCAGUACCAAAUAAUUGCACUCACCUGAUGGAAAGUUGAAUUAUGUGUGUUUAGAAAACAUAAAGAGGAAUUAAAUUGUAUAUCUUUUCUAAAGUUGAAAAGUAAAAUAUUUUACUAUGAGUUAUUAUUCUAAAAAGUUGGUUCAUUGUAUAUAGAGAGAAUACUAUUUCUUUCAAAUUAUCAUUGAAAAGUAACCGAGGCAACAUUUGAGAUGUGGGGGAAGAGAACCAUAUUAUCAUUUUUAGUUGUUCUAUGAACACUAAUGAGUGCAGCUACUAAAAUGAUUGUAAAGUUGACUACUGUAAAUUUUCCACAAUUCUGUGUGUAUGUACGUCCUAUGUAUCUACAUGUGUAUGUCUUAAGCUUAUUUAUACACGUGUACAUGCAUAAGGCACACCAAGAAGGGGAUGUAUAUAAUAUAGAGAUUAUAUAGCAGAGAGAUUCUCCACUUAUAAUAAAAAUUGUUUGCCAUGUAUUUUGUUAUGAAUAGUCUAUCUUCCAGAAGAUAUUUUGUUCUAUUUUGAAGUGUAGAAGAAUACACUGCUAAUAAAUAAAAGUUUUAUGCAAUUUA